GCUUACGGCCAUACCACCCUGAGAACGCCCGAUCUCGUCCGAUCUCGGAAGCUAAGCAGGGUCGGGUCUGGUUAGUACUUGGAUGGGAGACCGCCUGGGAAUACCAGGUGCUGUAAGCU
Takifugu rubripes (torafugu) is the source of this 119-nucleotide ribosomal RNA. The record is from Ensembl. NCBI's taxonomy places the organism in Eukaryota, Metazoa, Chordata, Actinopteri, Tetraodontiformes, Tetraodontidae.